Rhagoletis pomonella (apple maggot) is the source of this 121-nucleotide long non-coding RNA. RefSeq lists it as uncharacterized. The transcript is spliced from 2 exons. NCBI's taxonomy places the organism in Eukaryota, Metazoa, Arthropoda, Insecta, Diptera, Tephritidae. The record is from RefSeq and is a predicted model, not a curated record.
GCUCUAUCUUAAAGCAUUCAUGAACAGCUUUAAUUUGAUACCCAUAUUGAACAAAUACACCCAAGGUUACCCAGGUCCACGUUUUGGUCUAUAUCUCGAGACCCUAGUCACCCAGCUAUAU